AACGAACGCUGGCGGCAUGCCUAACACAUGCAAGUCGAACGGGAUCCAGGCUUCGGCCUGGUGAGAGUGGCGGACGGGUGAGUAACGCGUGGGAACCUGCCCAAUGGUCUGGGAUAACCGCGGGAAACUGCGGCUAAUACCGGAUAAGCCCGAGAGGGGAAAGAUUUAUCGCCGAUGGAGGGGCCCGCGUCAGAUUAGGUAGUUGGUGGGGUAAUGGCCUACCAAGCCUACGAUCUGUAGCUGGCUGAGAGGAUGAUCAGCCACACUGGGACUGAGAUACGGCCCAGACUCCUACGGGAGGCAGCAGUGGGGAAUCUUGCGCAAUGGCCGAAAGGCUGACGCAGCGACGCCGCGUGAGGGAUGAA
Molecule: ribosomal RNA, 365 nt
Filed under: uncultured bacterium
Lineage: Bacteria
Description: bacterial SSU rRNA
Rfam family: Bacterial small subunit ribosomal RNA
Source: RNAcentral